GUGCCAGCCGCUGCGGUAAUACGGAGGGUGCAAGCGUUAAUCGGAAUUACUGGGCGUAAAGCGCACGCAGGCGGUUUGUUAAGUCAGAUGUGAAAUCCCCGAGCUUAACUUGGGAACUGCAUUUGAAACUGGCAAGCUAGAGUCUCGUAGAGGGGGUAGAAUUCCAGGUGUAGCGGUGAAAUGCGUAGAGAUCUGGAGGAAUACCGGUGGCGAAGGCGGCCCCCUGGACAAAGACUGACGCUCAGGUGCGAAAGCGUGGGAGCAAACAGGAUUAGAUACCCUGGUAGUCCACGCUAGUAACG
This 302-nucleotide ribosomal RNA is filed under the name uncultured Rahnella sp. RNAcentral's name for it is "bacterial SSU rRNA". It matches the Rfam family "Bacterial small subunit ribosomal RNA", at positions 505 to 808 of the family's 1533-position model. Lineage: Bacteria; Pseudomonadati; Pseudomonadota; Gammaproteobacteria; Enterobacterales; Yersiniaceae. The record is from RNAcentral.